AGUGAACGCUGGCGGUAGGCCUAACACAUGCAAGUCGAACGGCAGCACAGUAAGAGCUUGCUCUUACGGGUGGCGAGUGGCGGACGGGUGAGGAAUACAUCGGAAUCUACUUUUUCGUGGGGGAUAACGUAGGGAAACUUACGCUAAUACCGCAUACGACCUACGGGUGAAAGCAGGGGAUCUUCGGAACUUGCGCGAUUGAAUGAGCCGAUGUCGGAUUAGCUAGUUGGCGGGGUAAAGGCCCACCAAGGCGACGAUCCGUAGCUGGUCUGAGAGGAUGAUCAGCCACACUGGAACUGAGACACGGUCCAGACUCCUACGGGAGGCAGCAGUGGGGAAUAUUGGACAGUGGGCGCAAGCCUGAUCCAGCCAUACCGCGUGGGUGAAGAAGGCCUUCGGGUUGUAAAGCCCUUUUGUUGGGAAAGAAAAGCAGCAGGUUAAUACCCCGCUGUUCUGACGGUACCCAAAGAAUAAGCACCGGCUAACUUCGUG
This 492-nucleotide ribosomal RNA is filed under the name uncultured bacterium. Its description in RNAcentral is "partial 16S ribosomal RNA". It matches the Rfam family "Bacterial small subunit ribosomal RNA", at positions 29 to 507 of the family's 1533-position model. The record is from RNAcentral.